GAGCACGUAGGUGGGUUUGUAAGUCAGAUGUGAAAGCCUUCUGUUCAAAGGAAGAACGGCAUCUGAAACUGCAGAUCUUGAGUGUAGGAGGGGAGAGUGGAACUUCUGGUGGAGCGGUGAAAUGCGUAGAUAUCAGAAGGAACGUCGGCGGCGAAAGCGACUCUCUGGCCUAUUACUGACACUGAGUGUGCGAAAGUUAGGGGAGCAAACGGGAUUAGAUACCCCGGUAGUCCUAACUGUAAACGAUGGGCACUAAGUAGAGGGGUC
Molecule: ribosomal RNA, 267 nt
Filed under: uncultured Planctomycetota bacterium
Lineage: Bacteria; Pseudomonadati; Planctomycetota
Description: uncultured planctomycete partial 16S ribosomal RNA
Rfam family: Bacterial small subunit ribosomal RNA
Source: RNAcentral